CAGUCGCCGCGGGAAUACAGAGGGUGCAAGCGUUAAUCGGAUUUACUGGGCGUAAAGGGCGCGUAGGUGGUUAUUUAAGUGAGAUGUGAAAGCCCCGGGCUUAACCUGGGAACUGCAUCUUAUACUGGGUAACUGGAGUGCAGUAGAGGGCAGUGGAAUUUCCGGUGUAGCGGUGAAAUGCGUAGAUAUGCGGAGGAACACCGAUGGCGAAGGCAAUCCCCUGGACCUGUACUGACGCUCAUGCACGAAAGCGUGGGGAGCAAACAGGAUUAGAUACCCGUGUAGUCCCUGUCUCUUAUAC
RNAcentral lists this ribosomal RNA (301 nucleotides) under uncultured bacterium. RNAcentral's name for it is "partial 16S ribosomal RNA". It matches the Rfam family "Bacterial small subunit ribosomal RNA", at positions 509 to 807 of the family's 1533-position model. The record is from RNAcentral.